AGUGAUUCGAUGUAAUUCCUGCGGCGUCUAUUUGUACACGCCGCACCUAGAAUAAAAAAGAAUCACGUUUUCAGAUUGCAACUAAGGAAGAUGGCUGAGGAACAGCCAAAGUACAAAUUGAUCUACUUUAAUGCACGAGGUCGUGCCGAGCAUAUUCGCUACAUAUUCGCUUACGCGAGCAUCGACUACAUCGACGAAAGGAUCUCCAACGAUCGUUGGCCUGAGCUUAAGAAGUCGAUGCCUUACGGGAUGCUGCCAAUUCUGGAGAUCGACGGUAAGCCGAUAGCGCAAAGCAACGCCGUGGCGCGUUACCUGGCCCGUAAACACAAUCUCGCGGGCAAGGACGAAUGGGAAUCGAUGAUGUGCGACGUGCUGGUCGAUACCUUGGGAGAUUUGAAACAAUGUAUCUUUCAAUUUCGCACAGAGGAGGAUCACUUUAAGAAGGAGGAGAAGAAGGCGAAGCUUCUGAAGGAAACAAUACCGUUCUACUUGAAUAAGUUCGAGCAAACUGUUGCUGAGAAUGGUGGUUACGCAGUCGGUUCUACGACCACGUGGGCGGACUUCGUGUUCACCGUGGCGUUGGAGAACUUUGAGAACAUUUUUGGCGCGACUGCCUUAGAUAAUUAUCCGGCGUUACGCGGAUUGAAGAAGCGGGUACAUGAAAUUUCAACGAUCGCCGACUGGUUGUCACGGCGACCUCAUUCAGAGUUUUGAAAUGUCGAUGCAAUGAUGGAACCCGGAAGGCGACAUCAACGGCAUCACAAACAACCAGCACAGGAAAAUGCAAGAAAUGCAACAAAAUAGAAUGCAGUUAAUAGGAUUGAUUGUAACAAAGAUUUAAAGGUAUGUAAUUUGUAAACAUUAUCAUGCUUUUAUCAAUAAGACGGCCUCUUUAUAAAUGUACUAAAUAAGCUCAAGCCCGAUGUACUUCAUAAGAUCAUUGUGUUUGAACGAGAUAAUAAACGAGAAGAUGUGCUUGUAAAAUAUACCUUGCCAUUAGAACGGGAGCAGCGGAAAUAAUGGUAGACUGUUUAAUGUGCUACGAUGAAGAUGACAGAAAGCUUUGUUUUUUCGUCAGCGUUUAAAGACGUGUCCGCAGGUACGGCAAAAUAUAGUCAAUUGUAAUGAUCAAACAAGGUCUUUAUAGGAGAGAGAACUGGCUGCAUGAGUUAUAAUGUAUAUAUGUUAUUACGAUGCGACGUUAUAUAUA
Molecule: RNA transcript, 1210 nt
Organism: Cyphomyrmex costatus
Lineage: Eukaryota; Metazoa; Arthropoda; Insecta; Hymenoptera; Formicidae
Gene name: glutathione S-transferase
Exons: 6
Source: RefSeq, a predicted model, not a curated record